GAUUAACGCUGGCGGCGUGCAUAACACAUGCAAGUCGAACGAAGUGGCGGACGGGUGAGUAACGCGUGAGUAACCUGCCUUAGAGAAGGGGAUAGCCUUUGGCAAAGAAGAAUAAUACCCUAUACUCUAAGAUGGACUUGCGGCUGAUUAGUUAGUUGGUGAGGUAACGGCCCACCCAGACAGCGAGCAGUAGCCGGCUUGAGAGAGUGGACGGGAACACUGGGACUGAGACAAGGCCCAGACUCUACGGGAGGCAGCAGUGGGGAAUUUUGCACAAUGGGGGAAACCCUGAGGCAGCGACGUCGCGUGAUUUAGAAGGCCUUCGGGUUGUAAAAAUCUUUUCUAUGGGAAGCAGUACCCUAGGAAUAAGGACCGGCUAAUUACGUGCCAGCAGCCGCGGUAAUUC
This 406-nucleotide ribosomal RNA is filed under the name uncultured bacterium. RNAcentral's name for it is "partial 16S ribosomal RNA". It matches the Rfam family "Bacterial small subunit ribosomal RNA", at positions 28 to 526 of the family's 1533-position model. The record is from RNAcentral.